RNAcentral lists this ribosomal RNA (577 nucleotides) under uncultured bacterium. RNAcentral's name for it is "partial 16S ribosomal RNA". It matches the Rfam family "Bacterial small subunit ribosomal RNA", at positions 355 to 922 of the family's 1533-position model. The record is from RNAcentral.
UGGGGAAUUUUGGACAAUGGGCGAAAGCCUGAUCCAGCAAUGCCGCGUGUGUGAAGAAGGCCUUCGGGUUGUAAAGCACUUUUGUCCGGAAAGAAAUCCUUGGCUCUAAUACAGUCGGGGGAUGACGGUACCGGAAGAAUAAGCACCGGCUAACUACGUGCCAGCAGCCGCGGUAAUACGUAGGGUGCAAGCGUUAAUCGGAAUUACUGGGCGUAAAGCGUGCGCAGGCGGUUUGCUAAGACCGAUGUGAAAUCCCCGGGCUCAACCUGGGCAACUGCAUUGGUGACUGGCAGGCUAGAGUAUGGCAGAGGGGGUAGAAUUCCACGUGUAGCAGUGAAAUGCGUAGAGAUGUGGAGGAAUACCGAUGGCGAAGGCAGCCCCCUGGGCAAUACUGACGCUCAUGCACGAAAAGCGUGGGGGAGCAAACAGGAUUAGAUACCCCUGGUAGUCCACGCCCUAAAACGAUGUCAACUAGUUGUUGGGGAUUCAUUUCCUUAGUAACGUAGCUAACGCGUGAAGUUGACCGCCUGGGGAGUACGGUCGCAAGAUUAAAACUUAAAUGAAUUGACGGGGUCAU